Molecule: ribosomal RNA, 489 nt
Filed under: uncultured organism
Description: bacterial SSU rRNA
Rfam family: Bacterial small subunit ribosomal RNA
Source: RNAcentral
AACGAACGCUGGCGGCGCGUCUUAAGCAUGCAAGUCGAACGGUAACACGGGGCAACCUGGUGACGAGUGGCGAACGGGUGAGUAACGCGUAGGUGAUCUGCCUUAUGGUUGGGGAUAUACUGUGGAAACACAGGGUAAUACCGAAUGAUGUCGUAUUCCUUGGGGGAAACGAUUAAAGGGGCUACGGCCUCGCCAGAAGAUGAGCCUGCGUUUGAUUAGCUAGUUGGUGAGGUAAAGGCUCACCAAGGCGACGAUCAAUAGCCGGCCUGAGAGGGUGGUCGGCCACACUGGGACUGAGAUACGGCCCAGACUCCUACGGGAGGCAGCAGCUAAGAAUCUUCCGCAAUGGACGAAAGUCUGACGGAGCGACGCCGCGUGGGUGAUGAAGGCGGAAACGUUGUAAAGCCCUUUUAUAGGCGAGGAAUAAGAUCCGGAGGGAAUGCCGGGUCGAUGACGGUAGCCUGUGAAUAAGCCCCGGCUAAUUACGUG